GAUGGAGCACGCCGCGUGAGUGAAGAAGGCUUUCGGGUCGUAAAACUCUGUUGUUGGAGAAGAAUGGUCGGCAGAGUAACUGUUGUCGGCGUGACGGUAUCCAACCAGAAAGCCACGGCUAACUACGUGCCAGCAGCCGCGGUAAUACGUAGGUGGCAAGCGUUAUCCGGAUUUAUUGGGCGUAAAGCGAGCGCAGGCGGUUUUUUAAGUCUGAUGUGAAAGCCCUCGGCUUAACCGAGGAAGCGCAUCGGAAACUGGGAAACUUGAGUGCAGAAGAGGACAGUGGAACUCCAUGUGUAGCGGUGAAAUGCGUAGAUAUAUGGAAGAACACCAGUGGCGAAGGCGGCUGUCUGGUCUGUAACUGACGCUGAGGCUCGAAAGCAUGGGUAGCGAACAGGAUUAGAUACCCUGGUAGUCCAUGCCGUAAACGAUGAAUGCUAGGUGUUGGAGGGUUUCCGCCCUUCAGUGCCGCAGCUAACGCAUUAAGCAUUCCGCCUGGGGAGUACGACCGCAAGGUUGAAACUCAAAGGAAUUGACGGGGGCCCGCACAAGCGGUGGAGCAUGUGGUUUAAUUCGAAGCAACGCGAAGAACCUUACCAGGUCUUGACAUCUUUUGAUCACCUGAGAGAUCAGGUUUCCCCUUCGGGGGCAAAAUGACAGGUGGUGCAUGGUUGUCGUCAGCUCGUGUCGUGAGAUGUUGGGUUAAGUCCCGCAACGAGCGCAACCCUUAUGACUAGUUGCCAGCAUUUAGUUGGGCACUCUAGUAAGACUGCCGGUGACAAACCGGAGGAAGGUGGGGAUGACGUCAAAUCAUCAUGCCCCUUAUGACCUGGGCUACACACGUGCUACAAUGGAUGGUACAACGAGUUGCGAGACCGCGAGGUCAAGCUAAUCUCUUAAAGCCAUUCUCAGUUCGGACUGUAGGCUGCACUCG
This 934-nucleotide ribosomal RNA is filed under the name Lacticaseibacillus paracasei. RNAcentral describes it as "bacterial SSU rRNA". It matches the Rfam family "Bacterial small subunit ribosomal RNA", at positions 385 to 1314 of the family's 1533-position model. The record is from RNAcentral. Lineage: Bacteria; Bacillati; Bacillota; Bacilli; Lactobacillales; Lactobacillaceae.